Molecule: non-coding RNA, 26 nt
Filed under: Mus musculus (house mouse)
Lineage: Eukaryota; Metazoa; Chordata; Mammalia; Rodentia; Muridae
Source: RNAcentral
UCUAGUACUGGAAGGGAACUCUGUCC